Molecule: long non-coding RNA, 1481 nt
Organism: Hemibagrus wyckioides
Lineage: Eukaryota; Metazoa; Chordata; Actinopteri; Siluriformes; Bagridae
Exons: 4
Source: RefSeq, a predicted model, not a curated record
CGUGACACCGUCCCGCUAUUACAAUAAAAGAAGAGCACGCCCCGCCCACUGGAGAGAUCGCUUUUGUCUUUUGGAGAUUUAAUACUUUAAGUUUUAUGUUGGAGUUGCUGGAAUUAUUCUACAGUACAUAAUGGAAAAGAUUCGGCCUUAUAGUGACCACAGCACAGUGACCGUGGAGUUCUGAAACAGCCGGACCCCAGAGGAAAAGCUUCUCAAGCCAACACCCAGCUAGCUUGGAUAAGGCCUCUGAUGAGAUUCCUCUGAUGAGACGCCAUGCAAAAAGAAUGAUGAGUCUCGUCGGCUCAACGUACACAUGUGAGCAAACACUUUCUCUGUUACCUCUGAACAAAAGCAGACUGAAAACCAAAAUUGUCGACAGCCAUCUCUGUGAUGUCUUUCGUUUGACCACCAAACUUAAUUCUGACCUGCCAGCCAUCUUUCACUGCCAACCCACUGAGUGCAACACUGUUCCUAUUUCAGAAAUCAAACACGAAAACAAACUGGCAAAAUAAAGAAAACUGAAGAGCUAACUAAGAAGCAACAUGAAAAGAAAAAAAGACAGUGGUCAGUAUGGAAUAAGAAUUCUACUGUACUCACUACUAAAAUCUGACUCCAGCUCCACACUGACCCUACAGCUCAGUCUAAGUGAGACUUAUAGUUAGUAAGGCCUCAAAACUAAAUAAGCCAAUCAAGCAGACUAGAUGAAUGCAGAUAAGAGAUUUUAUUUUGUAAUCAGCGCUGAUACAAGAAUUGAGAUGCUCACGCAUGAGCGUCCCAACAACCUCUCUCCGCGGAACUCCAACUACAGCCUUUAUAUACAUUUCCCUUAUCUUCCCAAUGCAACACGUCACUGGUUCUUUGCCUAGACAAUCCCACCCAUCUUUCUUUUUAGACCUUUUAGAUUCUUUUUUUACACCAUUAUCUUUGAAUUUACAACUUUUCGAAUACCAUUAUAAUUAAACUUCCCUAAAUCAUUAUAUUAAAAAUUGGGCGUUUCCGCCCCCACCAGUGGGAUUGUCUUCGGCCUCACUCUCGCCAACACCUCAUUCUUCUUCAGGAGACAGCAUGGGUAAGUUCUCAGUACUUCAGGGGCCAACACCCUUUUCUUUUAUUACACUCUACACUUCACGGCUUUUCUGAUUUAUCCGCUGUCUUCUACGUAUGUACUCUAGAUAUUUCGCCUGGUACCACCAUUGCCAUCCAGCACGCACUGCGUUUACUUCAUGAUGAGAUCACUGCCGCUCAAGGUACCAGUGGAGCGAAGAUUGACCAUAACAAUCUAGGGUGCGUCUCUGCCAUUGAUUGGUCCAAGUUUGGAAAGCCUGGUACCGCAGAGAAGGCCUGCCAGACUGACAUCAUUGAUACAACGAUUUGUUCUCCAAAGCCCUUGCAGCCUGUGUGCAAGGCCCAUGACAGACCAACAUGCCGUGUUAAACCUUAUAUUGUUCUCAAGCUCAAACGUCCUAACAAAUAAACCCUAC